CCUACGGGUGGCAGCAGUGGGGAAUAUUGGGCAAUGGGCGCAAGCCUGACCCAGCAACGCCGCGUGAAGGAAGAAGGCUUUCGGGUUGUAAACUUCUUUUAAGAGGGAAGAGCAGAAGACGGUACCUCUUGAAUAAGACGCGGCUAACUACGUGCCAGCAGCCGCGGUAAUACGUAGGUGGCAAGCGUUGUCCGGAUUUACUGGGUGUAAAGGGCGUGCAGACGGGAAGACAAGUCAGAGGUGAAAUUCCGCGGCUCAACCGUGGAACUGCAGUUGAAACUGGUUUUCUUGAGUACCGGAGAGGUCAUCGGAAUGCCUGGUGUAGCGGUGAAAUGCGUAGAUAUAAGGAAGAACACCAGGGGCGAAGGCGGAUGACUGGACGGCAACUGACGGUGAGGCGCGAAAGCGUGGGGAGCAAACAGGAUUAGAUACCCGGGUAGUC
Molecule: ribosomal RNA, 442 nt
Filed under: uncultured bacterium
Lineage: Bacteria
Description: partial 16S ribosomal RNA
Rfam family: Bacterial small subunit ribosomal RNA
Source: RNAcentral